RNAcentral lists this ribosomal RNA (513 nucleotides) under uncultured bacterium. Its description in RNAcentral is "partial 16S ribosomal RNA". It matches the Rfam family "Bacterial small subunit ribosomal RNA", at positions 30 to 523 of the family's 1533-position model. The record is from RNAcentral.
AUUGAACGCUGGCGGCAUGCCUAACACAUGCAAGUCGAACGGCAGCACAGUAAAGAUUUCGGUCUUUAUGGGUGGCGAGUGGCGGACGGGUGAGUAAUGCGUAGGAAUCUGUCCUGGAGAGUAGGAUAACCCGAGGAAACUCGGACUAAUACUGCAUGAUAUCGAGAGAUCAAAGGCAGGGGACCCUUCGGGGCCUUGCGCUCUAGGAUGAGCCUACGUCGGAUUAGCUAGUUGGUGGGGUAAAGGCCUACCAAGGCGACGAUCCGUAGCUGGUCUGAGAGGAUGACCAGCCACACUGGGACUGAGACACGGCCCAGACUCCUACGGGAGGCAGCAGUGGGGAAUCUUGGACAAUGGGGGAAACCCUGAUCCAGCGAUGCCGCGUGUGUGAAGAAGGCCUUCGGGUUGUAAAGCACUUUAGUUGGGGAAGAAAAGUAAUGAGUGAAUAACUGAUUGCUCUGACGGUACCCAAAGAAUAAGCACCGGCUAACUCUGUGCCAGCCGCCGCUGUAA